RNAcentral lists this ribosomal RNA (465 nucleotides) under uncultured bacterium. RNAcentral describes it as "partial 16S ribosomal RNA". It matches the Rfam family "Bacterial small subunit ribosomal RNA", at positions 339 to 795 of the family's 1533-position model. The record is from RNAcentral.
CUACGGGUUGCUCCAGUGGGGAAUAUUGGACAAUGGGGGAAACCCUGAUCCAGCAAUGCCGCGUGUGUGAAGAAGGCCUGCGGGUUGUAAAGCACUUUCGGUUGGGAGGACUGCUUCUAGUACUAAUAUUGUUGGAAGUUGACGUUACCUUCAGAAGAAGCACCGGCUAACUCCGUGCCAGCAGCCGCGGUAAUACGGAGGGUGCAAGCGUUAAUCGGAAUUACUGGGCGUAAAGCGCGCGUAGGCGGCUAGAUCAGUCGGGUGUGAAAGCCCCGGGCUUAACCUGGGAAUUGCAUCCGAUACUGGCUAGCUUGAGUACAGGAGAGGGGAGUGGAAUUCCACAUGUAGCGGUGAAAUGCGUAGAUAUGUGGAGGAACACCAAUGGCGAAGGCAGCUCUCUGGCCUGAUACUGACGCUGAGGUGCGAAAGCAUGGGGAGCAAACAGGAUUAGAUACCCGCGUAGUC